UGGGGAAUAUUGCACAAUGGGCGCAAGCCUGAUGCAGCCAUGCCGCGUGUGUGAAGAAGGCCUUCGGGUUGUAAAGCACUUUCAGCGAGGAGGAAGGUGGUGAGCUUAAUACGCUCAUCAAUUGACGUUACUCGCAGAAGAAGCACCGGCUAACUCCGUGCCAGCAGCCGCGGUAAUACGGAGGGUGCAAGCGUUAAUCGGAAUUACUGGGCGUAAAGCGCACGCAGGCGGUUUGUUAAGUCAGAUGUGAAAUCCCCGGGCUCAACCUGGGAACUGCAUUUGAAACUGGCAAGCUAGAGUCUCGUAGAGGGGGGUAGAAUUCCAGGUGUAGCGGUGAAAUGCGUAGAGAUCUGGAGGAAUACCGGUGGCGAAGGCGGCCCCCUGGACGAAGACUGACGCUCAGGUGCGAAAGCGUGGGGCAGCAAACAGGAUUAGAUACCCUGGUAGUCCACGCUGUAAACGAUGUCGAUUUUGGAGGUUGUGCCCUUGAGGCGUGGCUUCCGGAGCUAACGCGUUAAAUCGACCGCCUGGGGAGUACGGCCG
Molecule: ribosomal RNA, 543 nt
Filed under: uncultured bacterium
Lineage: Bacteria
Description: partial 16S ribosomal RNA
Rfam family: Bacterial small subunit ribosomal RNA
Source: RNAcentral